Molecule: ribosomal RNA, 495 nt
Filed under: uncultured bacterium
Lineage: Bacteria
Description: partial 16S ribosomal RNA
Rfam family: Bacterial small subunit ribosomal RNA
Source: RNAcentral
UGACCGCUGGCGGCGUGCCUACUACAUGCAAGUCGAGCGAACAGACGAGGAGCUUGCUCCUCUGACGUUAGCGGCGGACGGGUGAGUAACACGUGGAUAACCUACCUAUAAGACUGGGAUAACUUCGGGAAACCGGAGCUAAUACCGGAUAAUAUAUUGAACCGCAUGGUUCAAUAGUGAAAGACGGUUUUGCUGUCUCUUAUAGAUGGAUCCGCGCCGCAUUAGCUAGUUGGUAAGGUAACGGCUUACCAAGGCAACGAUGCGUAGCCGACCUGAGAGGGUGAUCGGCCACACUGGAACUGAGACACGGUCCAGACUCCUACGGGAGGCAGCAGUAGGGAAUCUUCCGCAAUGGGCGAAAGCCUGACGGAGCAACGCCGCGUGAGUGAUGAAGGUCUUCGGAUCGUAAAACUCUGUUAUUAGGGAAGAACAAAUGUGUAAGUAACUAUGCACGUCUUGACGGUACCUAAUCAGAAAGCCACGGCUAACUACGUG